Molecule: ribosomal RNA, 185 nt
Filed under: uncultured Bacteroidota bacterium
Lineage: Bacteria; Pseudomonadati; Bacteroidota
Description: uncultured Bacteroidetes bacterium partial 16S ribosomal RNA
Rfam family: Bacterial small subunit ribosomal RNA
Source: RNAcentral
GCAAUCUACCUUUUACAGAGGGAUAGCCCAGAGAAAUUUGGAUUAAUACCUCAUAGUAUUAUUGAAUGGCAUCAUUUAAUAAUUAAAGUCACAACGGUAAAAGAUGAGCAUGCGUCCCAUUAGCUUGUUGGUAAGGUAACGGCUUACCAAGGCAACGAUGGGUAGGGGUCCUGAGAGGGAGAUCC